Molecule: transfer RNA, 76 nt
Filed under: Roseinatronobacter bogoriensis DSM 18756
Lineage: Bacteria; Pseudomonadati; Pseudomonadota; Alphaproteobacteria; Rhodobacterales; Paracoccaceae
Description: tRNA-Met
Source: RNAcentral
CGCUAAGCUAUUGGAAUCAUUAAAGUUUAGGCUCAUAACCUGAAGGUCACAGGUUCAAAUCCUGUCCCCGCAACCA